Molecule: ribosomal RNA, 253 nt
Filed under: uncultured bacterium
Lineage: Bacteria
Description: partial 16S ribosomal RNA
Rfam family: Bacterial small subunit ribosomal RNA
Source: RNAcentral
UACGUAGGGUGCGAGCGUUGUCCGGAAUUAUUGGGCGUAAAGGGCGCGUAGGCGGCCUGUUAAGUCGGACGUGAAAUCCCUCGGCUCAACCGGGGAACUGCGUCCGAUACUGGCGGGCUUGAAUUCGGGAGAGGGAUGUGGAAUUCCAGGUGUAGCGGUGAAAUGCGUAGAUAUCUGGAGGAACACCGGUGGCGAAGGCGGCAUCCUGGACCGACAUUGACGCUGAGGCGCGAAAGCCAGGGGAGCAAACGGG